GACGUAGGGCGCGAGCGUUGUCCGGAAUUACUGGGCGUAAAGCGCGUGUAGGCGGCCCUGUAAGUCGGGUGUGAAAUCCCACGGCUCAACCGUGGAAGUGCACUCGAUACUGCGAGGCUAGAGUCCCGGAGAGGAUGGUGGAACUCUCGGUGUAGAGGUGAAAUUCGUAGAUAUCGAGAAGAACACCGGGUGGCGAAGGCGGCCAUCUGGACGGUGACUGACGCUGAGACGCGGAAAGCGUGGGGAGCAAACAGG
This 255-nucleotide ribosomal RNA is filed under the name uncultured bacterium. Its description in RNAcentral is "partial 16S ribosomal RNA". It matches the Rfam family "Bacterial small subunit ribosomal RNA", at positions 524 to 776 of the family's 1533-position model. The record is from RNAcentral.